This is a long non-coding RNA of Equus quagga, 1363 nucleotides long. RefSeq lists it as uncharacterized. The record is from RefSeq and is a predicted model, not a curated record. The transcript has 3 exons. Lineage: Eukaryota; Metazoa; Chordata; Mammalia; Perissodactyla; Equidae.
ACGGUGGUGGUGGCGGGAGUAGGGUGCGGGUCCCUCGUCUGUGUUCCCGGGGACGGCGAGGCCCUGGCGCUGGUGUGGAGGCCGGGCUUCUCGCUCGUCUGCGCCGCCGACUCGCUGUGUGGCCGCGCUGAAGGCCCUGCCCGGCCCUGGGCCCCGCUUCCCAUCUGCUCUAUCAGUGACAAACUUUGCAACGUGGAUGUGUGUGUGUUUUCCCACUAGUGACUGGAAGUUCCACGGGAAGUCAAGAUAAAUAGGGCAGCCCCUUGCUGUGUCCGUGGGAUAGGCUGGAUGAUGCUGCCAUGACAGCCAAGCGCAGAGCUCGGUGGCUUGAAACAGCACGAGUUGGUUCCUCAUCCACUGUGUCCCCGCGCUGGCAGCAGGGGAGGCUCCGCCCUCUAUGGAGACUCGAGGACCCAGGCUGGCUCAGGACUUAGCAUCUUGAACGUUGCCAGUCGUCAUGUCAGGGGAAAGAGCGCUUUGGAGGGUCUUGCACUUGCAACCAAAUGCCUGGGGCUGAGAGUCAUGCACACGCCUUCCGUUCACAACGCUCUGGCCAAAGCUGCUCACACGGCCCCACCUGCCACAGCAUGCCCGGGGGCUGGUCCUGAUCACGCACCAGCUGGCCGGGAGGGGGAGGAAUCCGAUGAGCAAUGUCAAUGACAAGCACACUUGCUUAAAAACAGGCUCGAUUUUAAAUGAAUCCAUGGGAUUUGGCGAUUUAACGCAAUGCUGUUGCCGAAUGAGGAAGAGCCCCCAAGCCAUGUCUAUUUCUUCAUGACUUGUGGAACCUGCCCCAAACACUGGCCUUUCAGAGGCUCAGAGCAAUCUCUAGAUGCACACAGAAAGAGUGCGGAGUGCCCCAUCUUCCCCCCAAAUUCCCUCCUCAAAUAGCAGCGAAUCCAAGAGCAGUGAAUACAUUCCGAUGUCUGAUCUCCAAGAGGGCAAAGGCACUGCACGAUUACUUUACACCGAAAGGGGAAAGCGUGCUUCUUGCCUUAUGCCACACCUCCUCCCAGUGACCUCCUUCCCUUCAGGACCCAGGCUGGUGGCCCCUCUCACUCCUGGCCCCAUGAGGUGCCCUGUCCCCAGAGGAGGCUGGGCAAGUGCCCCUGUCUGCCCAGUGUGGCCUCUCCUGUGCCCUGGGCUGCGCCCAGCCAUGGGUGCAGGUGGCAUCAGAGAACAGGAGGCCACGGCCUUCGGGCUGCACUGGGCACAAGGCUGAACAUGCACACAUGCCUGUAGAAAGAUUAUGUCAAAGUCGUUUUUAUUCAACUGUUAUCCAGCAAUAUACAAUUCAGUUUAUAAACAAGUGUCUGACCUUGUUUCCAAUCUUUAUUUAAAAAUAAAUAUUAUUGACAGUGAA